RNAcentral lists this ribosomal RNA (251 nucleotides) under uncultured prokaryote. RNAcentral describes it as "partial 16S rRNA". It matches the Rfam family "Bacterial small subunit ribosomal RNA", at positions 525 to 775 of the family's 1533-position model. The record is from RNAcentral.
ACGGAGGGUGCAAGCGUUAAUCGGAAUUACUGGGCGUAAAGCGCACGCAGGCGGUUUGUUAAGUCAGAUGUGAAAUCCCCGGGCUCAACCUGGGAACUGCAUCUGAUACUGGCAAGCUUGAGUCUCGUAGAGGGGGGUAGAAUUCCAGGUGUAGCGGUGAAAUGCGUAGAGAUCUGGAGGAAUACCGGUGGCGAAGGCGGCCUGCUGGACUGUAACUGACACUGAGGCGCGAAAGCCAGGGGAGCAAACGG